GGAGGAAUGAAGCACAGAAAUGAAGUGUAUGAUCCAAGCAAGACAGAAAGCCAGCAGGGCAAACAUCGUGUACCUCUGGGUCCAUUAGUGUACAAGGAGUUCUUUUUACAAAGAGGAAAAGCAAUAUAAUAAAAGAAGUGAUAGAGGAUUGGAUUUUAUUGAAAACAUAUUGAGAGUGGUCCUGGGAUUGGAUGUCACAGGCAUGGUAGCUGUAGCUGGUGGAGAAAAAAAGCAGACAGUGCCUGCACCUGAGGGAGGGCUGGCAUCGAGGACCGAAUUGGAACGGUUGAUCUUGGCAAGGAGACAUCACUAUGAUUGGUAGCCCAUGGCCUGGACAAUUGCCUGCAGUAUCUUUGCAGCUUCCUGUGAGUCAGAGGACAGAGAGAAGGACAGAGGCAGACAAGGGUGACUGAAUCAGCACGCUGCCCUCUGCAGCUUUGGGAGUCAUGCCUGUGUGUACCCGAGCUCCGCCACCAACCAGCAUCCCUGUCUUUGGGCAAGUUAUUUAGACUUUGUGGGUCCUUGUUUCAUCAUCUGUAGGAAGCCAGGGGCAUCAGGGCUCGGGGCUUGAAGCAUCUAUUUGGCACAGUGGAAAUCUACAUGUUUCCUUCACUGGACUCUUUGGAAAUGAGUCUUAUUAUGCACCCCAGGCUCUCAAACUCUGGAUCCUCGUGCUGCAAACUCUCAAAUGAUGAGACUACAGGCAUUGGUGGUCUGUGCCACCGCACCAGACAAGAGCAGUUAAGAGUAUCAAUACAGUCUGCUUUUAAAACUGAGUAAACAAAACAGAACGGGGAGGGGAGAGGACCACCAACAGUAGCGUCAAGCGUGAGACUUCCUGGGAACAGCUGUGCCUCUUGGCUGACAGAUGAAUCCUUUGAUGUCUCUCAGAGCAGAGUAUUGCGACUGAGUCCUGCCCUCCCUGGGGCUUUUUCAUCAUCCCUAAAUUGGAAUCUGCUGCAGAAGCCCGUUAUCAGCAACCUGGAGCACACUUCCAGGAACAGCAGCUAAACACCCAAAUAAAUGCUUGACUCAGGAAUGUGAGCCACUGAGUCACAGCUCUUGACUUCAGGGUGACCUGGCUUUUGAGGUGCUGGCCCGAGUCAUACCACCUGACCCUACACCACUUGUGUUCUUGGCAACUGGCCAUUGUCUCUGUGAAGGCAAGGCUCCUUGUCACACAGAGGCUGCCUGGAGAAUUUCACAAUAUGCAGGGCUCAAUGGACGGCCCAAGGAGAUCUCGGAGUCAAAGAUGCCAGCAACGGUUGUCACUCGCUCCUUUGAAACAGUUUUUAAAAAGCGUUGUAAGCCUGGCUGAGAAAAGGCAGAGAGCCCUUCGUGAAUCAGUUUGGCAAGCCAACCCAGAUAGAAGAUAAAUGUGCUGCAAGCACAUUUAGCAGCAACAGGACAAAACCACAGGUAGUUGAUAGGCACAACAGAGGAGCUCUUCUGCUACUGAGACCUUCCUGGGGAAUACCUGCUCCCCAACUGACCUUUCCACAGCCCCUUGUCUGGGAUGAGAUAGGCAUGUUAUUGAAUCCUAAUGCUUUUCAAAGGCUGAUCUGGUUUUCAAGUGGGCUGGUGUCCACCUUCAUCUUUAUUGUGAUAUUUGACCCCAUUGGUCCUCUGGUCUUAUUUCUGGUACUGUGUUCUCUAGGGGUAAGGAAAGGAACUGCAGAUCCAAUGGCCCUUCAGAGACUUCUGUGAAAAAUGCACACGAUGUUCAGCUGUUCUGGUAAUGAAAUAGAUGCACAGAAAAACAACAGCGAUGUGUCUACACCAGCGUCUGUAGACACUGCUCAAGAGUAAAGCACUUGCUAUGCAGUCAUGAGACUCUGAGCUCAGAUCAUGUAAUAGCCUGGUGUGGUGGUCCCAUCCUAGUAACUUGAACCUAGACCCUUCCACCUUGAGAUCUGUCUUCCAGGUCUUCACCCCAGUCACUAAGCCUCAUAUAUAAGCUUUGUAAUGUUCAUAACGGGUAAGCUCUGAAAAAUGACCAUUGGACAGGUGGGGGUGGGGUGCAUGAGAAAACCAUCAAACAAAGUGUGUGAGACUCAGCCUUCCUGUUACAGCUACAGAAGAAAACAAAAUAUUACUUGCAGAGUAAAAAUCUAAUACUGCCUCAGGGUUUGGAAGGAGCCACAUGAAAACGGCGAUGGAGUCACAUCCUGGAGGCUGGACAGGCUCAUUUUUACUUUUGCAUCUAUAUUUUCUCUAUUCUCCAUUUGAUUAGAAAGUAUGUUGCUUUAAUAAAAAAAAAAAAAAAAAAAAAAAAACUUUUUAAUCAAAAGUU
Molecule: long non-coding RNA, 2293 nt
Filed under: Mus pahari (shrew mouse)
Lineage: Eukaryota; Metazoa; Chordata; Mammalia; Rodentia; Muridae
Description: lncRNA (MGP_PahariEiJ_G0005986.1)
Source: RNAcentral